RNAcentral lists this ribosomal RNA (208 nucleotides) under uncultured Bacillota bacterium. RNAcentral's name for it is "uncultured Firmicutes bacterium partial 16S ribosomal RNA". It matches the Rfam family "Bacterial small subunit ribosomal RNA", at positions 568 to 775 of the family's 1533-position model. The record is from RNAcentral. Lineage: Bacteria; Bacillati; Bacillota.
CGCGUAGGCGGGAUUUUAAGUCAGGUGUGAAAACUCUGGGCUCAACCUGGAGAUUGCACUUGAGACUGGAAUUCUUGAGGACAGGAGAGGAAAGUGGAAUUCCUAGUGUAGCGGUGAAAUGCGUAGAUAUUAGGAGGAACACCAGUGGCGAAGGCGACUUUCUGGACUGUAACUGACGCUGAGGCGCGAAAGCGUGGGGAGUGAACGG